Molecule: unclassified non-coding RNA, 345 nt
Filed under: Hevea brasiliensis (rubber tree)
Lineage: Eukaryota; Viridiplantae; Streptophyta; Magnoliopsida; Malpighiales; Euphorbiaceae
Source: RNAcentral
GUUGCAUAUGUUGCUUAGAUGGGAUCUUUGGACAUAUCUGUGUUGCUUUAUGUUUAUGGUUCCCUUUGGCUUGGUUGUAUUUUCUGUUUUUAGUUUAUAUAUUUAUAGCCAGUAUAAUUUCUCAUUAUUAUUUAAGUGUUUUUCUUCUAUUAUUUUAUGCAAUCUAAUUUUUUCCAGCCCUUUUUAAGCCUUUGUCUCGUUUGGAGCAGUAGUUUCUAUGUUCUUUUGCUAUCUUAGUAAUUUGAAUGGCAUAAGCUAACCUAAUCUUAAUUGGUUAUGUUUUGCUAUCUUUCUUACUUAUUGGCUCCUUUCUGAUGCUGCAGUGGAUAUUCUUUGUUGCGAGAU